AACUGGUGCGCGAGAUGAGUAUUCUAAGGCGCUUGAGAGAACUCAGGAGAAGGAACUCGGCAAAUUGACACCGUAACUUCGGAAGAAGGUGUGCCUUUAGUAGGUGAACCUGUACAAGGGGAGCCCAAUGAGGUUGCAAAAAAUCGGUGGCUGCGACUGUUUAAUAAAAACACAGCACUCUGCAAACACGAAAGUGGACGUAUAGGGUGUGACGCCUGCCCGGUGCUGGAAGAUUAAAUGAUGGGGUGCAAGCUCUUGAUUGAAGUCCCAGUAAACGGCGGCCGUAACAAUAACGGUCCUAAGGUAGCGAAAUUCCUUGUCGGGUAAGUUCCGACCUGCACGAAUGGCGUAACGAUGGCCACACUGUCUCCUCCUGAGACUCAGCGAAGUUGAAAUGUUUGUGAUGAUGCAAUCUCCCCGCGGAAAGACGGAAAGACCCCAUGAACCUUUACUGUAGCUUUGUAUUGGACUUUGAACAGAUCUGUGUAGGAUAGGUGGGAGGCUUUGAAGUGUGGUCGCUAGAUCGCAUGGAGCCAACGUUGAAAUACCACCCUGGUGUGUUUGAGGUUCUAACCUAGGCCCGUAAUCCGGGUCGGGGACAGUGCAUGGUAGGCAGUUUGACUGGGGCGGUCUCCUCCCAAAGCGUAACGGAGGAGUUCGAAGGUACGCUAGGUACGGUCGGACAUCGUGCUAAUAGUGCAAUGGCAUAAGCGUGCUUAACUGCGAGACUGACAAGUCGAGCAGAUGCGAAAGCAGGACAUAGUGAUCCGGUGGUUCUGUAUGAAGGGCCAUCGCUCAACGGAUAAAAGGUACUCUGGGGACAACAGGCUGAUACCGCCCAAGAGUUCAUAUCGACGGCGGUGUUUGGCACCUCGAUGUCGGCUCAUCUCAUCCUGGGGCUGUAGCCGGUCCCAAGGGUAUGGCUGUUCGCCAUUUAAAGAGGUACGUGAGCUGGGUUUAAAACGUCGUGAGACAGUUUGGUCCCUAUCUUCCGUGGGCGCUGCAGAUUUGAGGAAGCCUGCUCCUAGUACGAGAGGACCGGAGUGGACACACCUCUGGUGUAUCGGUUGUCACGCCAGUGGCAUUGCCGAGUAGCUAUGUGUGGAAGAGAUAACCGCUGAAAGCAUCUAAGCGGGAAACUCGUUUCAAGAUGAGAUCUGCCGGGGCCUUGAGCCCCCUAAAGAGUCGUUCAAGACCAGGACGUUGAUAGGUCGGGUGUGGAAGCGCAGUAAUGCGUUAAGCUAACCGAUACUAAUUGCUCGUGCGGCUUGACCA
This 1275-nucleotide ribosomal RNA is filed under the name metagenome. Its description in RNAcentral is "bacterial LSU rRNA". It matches the Rfam family "Bacterial large subunit ribosomal RNA", at positions 1658 to 2925 of the family's 2925-position model. The record is from RNAcentral.